RNAcentral lists this ribosomal RNA (439 nucleotides) under uncultured bacterium. Its description in RNAcentral is "partial 16S ribosomal RNA". It matches the Rfam family "Bacterial small subunit ribosomal RNA", at positions 338 to 795 of the family's 1533-position model. The record is from RNAcentral.
CCUACGGGAGGCUGCAGUGGGGAAUAUUGCACAAUGGGCGAAAGCCUGAUGCAGCAACGCCGCGUGAGCGAUGAAGGCCUUCGGGUCGUAAAGCUCUGUUCUCAAGGAAGAUAAUGACGGUACUUGAGGAUGAACCCCCGGCUAACUACGUGCCAGCAGCCGCGGUAAUACGUAGGGGGCUAGCGUUAUCCGGAAUUACUGGGCGUAAAGGGUGCGUAGGUGGUUUCUUAAGUCAGAGUUGAAAGGCUGCGGCUCAACCGUAGUAAGCCGUUGAAACUGGGGAACUUGAGUGCAGGAGAGGAGAGUGGAAUUCCUAGUGUAGCGGUGAAAUGCGUAGAUAUUAGGAAGAACACCAGUUGCGAAGGCGGCUCUCUGGACUGUAACUGACACUGAGGCACGAAAGCGUGGGGAGCGAACAGGAUUAGAUACCCUUGUAGUC